AGUCCCUUCAUCCAGCCACAUUUGAAGGCCGACAUGACAAUGCCACACUGGAAAUGCGGCCUUAUCAACUAAUCUGCACUGUGAAGCUUUGAUGUUGCAGCACCACUUAUUUUCUGAGGCUGAUGCAUAAAAAUCGUCACCUUUUAGAGUUGAAAGCUCCACAACCAUGCACAUCACACGCUCUCACUCUAUUGUUGUGGUGACCAGCACAAAGGACACUCCAGGCUCGAACUACAGAGACAGGCACCUCUCCACCUCCUUCACUCUCACAUCAGAGGGAACAUUGUCCAGAGCAGACAAGAGAAGCUGUCACGAUGCAUCUUGAGAGACAGAUUGCGAUGAGCACUGCUUCUGACAUGUGAGGCAGUCAUGGUGCAGGGGAUGGAGGAGCAGAGCAGAAGUUGACACUUAACAGUACCAGUAUGUUCAGUGGGUUUUUGUCCAUAUAUAUAUAUUGCGGGCUUGUAGAUAUUACAGACAUUCUGAAGUUGAAUGCUCAGCAUAAUGAUGUGAAUUUAAAAGGGCACAGGACUGUGAGACUGCAUAAAGGGGCCAUAUAGGAUAGGCAGUCUUUACUCUUGUUGCUAUGGAUGCGACUGGUGUCAAAUCUCAAACAGCACGUAGUUAUCAAAUGUGCACUGUCACCGUAACCACAUCGAUCCCAUUAUGCCUUUAAUACACACUUGGGACUAUAUUUACUGACAAAAUCUCACAAAGUUUAUGGCAGAAAUCUGCAUGUAUUCAGCAUUUAAUUUACUAAGGCAGCAACUCAUUACAAAAUGAGUUGCACCUGGGGCAGACAUCCAGAUUCAUCUUACUCAGUUUAGCACAGUUCAGAUGGGAGAUUUGUCAAAAUUCACCAAGCUCAGAAAUAGGACAGCAAAUAAAGAUUAUUUUUAUUAUUGAUUAUUCUCUCGAUUAUUUUCAUGAUAAAUCAUUCGGUCUAUAAAAUCAGAAAAAGAAAAAAAAAGGCACAAUUUCGCAAACCCCAAGGUGAUAACUUCAAACUGCUUGUUUUGUCUGACCAACGGUCCAAAACCUGAAGAUAUUCUACUAACAAUAAUAGAAAACAAAGCAAAACAGCUACAGUAAAGAAGUUGUAUGUAAUGUUUUACAUUUUUCUUCAAAGGUCUUAGAAACGAUUAAUUGAUUACUAAAAUUGUUUGUGAUUAUUUUCCUGCCGAAUCGAUUUAAAAAAUGUCUUAAAACAAUUGAAUAAUUGACUAAUUGUUUCGGCUGUAUAAAUAAUAACAUAGUGAUCCUCCAAAACAUUUACUUCAUUUUACUUCAUUGCCACCAUAGAUAUUAAAUUACACAUAAAAUGAUAAUAUCACAAUAUUUACACUUAAUUAUAAUGCAAUAGGUAGUCAAGCAAAUUUUGUGAUAAAUAAUAAAGAGAUGGAAUAAUUUUUAAUUACUUUUAGAUAACUGAUUCUGAGCAGCUCUGAUAUAUAAUUUUCCACCACAGCCUUUCUUGUGGCUCUUUUAAAUCUGAU
This is a long non-coding RNA of Xiphias gladius (swordfish), 1496 nucleotides long. RefSeq lists it as uncharacterized. The transcript has 3 exons. The record is from RefSeq and is a predicted model, not a curated record. Lineage: Eukaryota; Metazoa; Chordata; Actinopteri; Istiophoriformes; Xiphiidae.